CAAUUUAUUAAAUCUAAUAUCAUGCUAUGUAUUCUUUCUUUUUAACAACUUUAACAGUAAUUACGUACAAAUUAAUUUUGUAACUAAAGUUUCGUUUGGGAUUGCGAAGAGAUUACGAUACGUACGGUAAGAAAAAUAUUUUAUUUGUUUCCGUACGUAAUAUUGCAUUUCGCAUAUCGCAAUGAGUCGGUUACGAUAUAUUUUCUACAGUUUAUUUUAUCUAAUUGCGUCAGAUAGAUUUCAAUACCAAACUAAGCAUAAGUUUUAUCGAAAAGCAUUUGUUAAAAGACUACUAUUCUUCUUUCAUUUUUAUUA
RNAcentral lists this long non-coding RNA (315 nucleotides) under Ananas comosus (pineapple). RNAcentral's name for it is "long non-coding RNA (ACOM_LNC013210)". The record is from RNAcentral. Lineage: Eukaryota; Viridiplantae; Streptophyta; Magnoliopsida; Poales; Bromeliaceae.